UCCCUUCCCCCGCCGCCAUCGACCCCCUAUAUUGGACUUGCCGUUCGCAAGACCGGCUAUGGCGAUAAACGGACUUCGUAAUAAGCCUUUCGGACCCGGGGGCGGUACCCGGCGCCUCCACCACAGCCCUGUUGCGCGAGCGGCAGGUCGCCUUGCCAUCCUCGGGCGGCAGGGCUGCGGCGGGGGCGAAAUAGGAUCGACGAGGGUGUAAAGGUUGUUCUUUUGCCCGGCAUGGUACCGCCGUUAUCGGGCCUAACGCAUAGUUGCCAACGACAACAAUGCUCGGGUUGCUGUCGCCGCGUGAGCGGUGCUGGUACCCAAACCUAAGUCCUUGCGUUUAGCGAUGUAAGGCGGGGCCCGGAGGCGCCUGGCAACAGAAGCCUCCACU
RNAcentral lists this transfer-messenger RNA (388 nucleotides) under Allobosea sp. Leaf344. Its description in RNAcentral is "Bosea sp. Leaf344 Alphaproteobacteria transfer-messenger RNA". It matches the Rfam family "Alphaproteobacteria transfer-messenger RNA". Rfam says of the family: Bacterial tmRNA, also known as 10Sa RNA or SsrA, is named for its dual tRNA and mRNA-like properties. Its role is to liberate the mRNA from a stalled ribosome. The record is from Rfam by way of RNAcentral. Lineage: Bacteria; Pseudomonadati; Pseudomonadota; Alphaproteobacteria; Hyphomicrobiales; Alloboseaceae.